This 433-nucleotide ribosomal RNA is filed under the name uncultured bacterium. RNAcentral describes it as "partial 16S ribosomal RNA". It matches the Rfam family "Bacterial small subunit ribosomal RNA", at positions 29 to 507 of the family's 1533-position model. The record is from RNAcentral.
AACGAACGCUGGCGGCAUGCCUAACACAUGCAAGUCGAACGAGACCUCCGGGUCUUGUGGCGCAUGGGUGCGUAACGCGUGGGAAGCUGCACUUAGGUUCGGAAUACCUCCCCGAAAGGGGUGCUAAUACCGGAUAAUGUCUUCGGACCAAAGAUUUAUCGCGUUUGGAUGGGCCCGCGUUGGAUUAGCUAGUUGGUAGGGUAAAAGCCUACCAAGGCGUGGAUUCAUAGCUGGUCUGAGAGGAUGAUCAGCCACACUGGGACUGAGACACGGCCCAGACUCCUACGGGAGGGAGGAGUGGGGAAUAUUGGACAAUGGGGGAAAUCCUGAUCCAGCAAUGCCGCGUAAGUGAUGAAGGCCUUAGGGUUGUAAAGCUCUUUUACCCGGGAUGAUAAUGACGGUACCGGGAGAAUAAGCUCCGGCUAACUACGUG